UUGUAAUUUUCAUGUGCUUCUAACGUAGGCAAUUGUUAAAGCAUGUGAGAGUCUGGCAGUUGCGGGGAAAAUAAAUGAAAAGGUGUAUGGAAAACAAAAGGUUUAUGCACCCAAGCAGGUAUUAAAAUAUCACUGUAUAGAGUGUAAUAUAAUUACGAUACAGAAGUUGCCGUCAUUUCGAUGAAGGGGCAAAUGCACACCAACCCAGAAAAGACUGGAGAUUCUAGUCUGAAUUGCCACUACACUAAAGCUGGGCAUAUUCAAUUCAACACAAAAAUGAAUCCUCAGGGUCAGGAAAUUAGAUAUGUUUGUACUUUAACCUUUUAACCCGUCGUCCGUUAAAACACUAACUUGUCAGUGGCGAUAUUUAACGGCGUUUUUGGCUGACCCCAUUUAUUGGCUGACCCCAUUGAUAUGUAACAUAUUGUGUUUUAUAAUCCUAUUAAUUUCAAACUGAUAUUUUAGGCACAAUACGGGGACUAUAGUGAAACUGACUUAAAACAAAUUGACGAAGAAGUUAGCAAGCAAGAAAAAAUUUGGACAGGACUGCAAAGCUCUUGUAAGACUUUGGAAGAAGGUACUAGUUUUCUGACAGCGCCGCCGAGAGCGGGGGUUUCCCCAGGCCCCCUGCUCAAAAGGAGCCCCAAAGCAACGAAGGCCCUCAACAUUUCUUGAUACAAUAUUGCUUAACUGAGAAUAUAAAUCCCAGUUGCGUU
Molecule: non-coding RNA, 716 nt
Organism: Paramuricea clavata
Lineage: Eukaryota; Metazoa; Cnidaria; Anthozoa; Malacalcyonacea; Plexauridae
Source: the annotation of a GenBank genome assembly